This 789-nucleotide ribosomal RNA is filed under the name Triticum aestivum (bread wheat). Its description in RNAcentral is "partial small subunit ribosomal RNA". Lineage: Eukaryota; Viridiplantae; Streptophyta; Magnoliopsida; Poales; Poaceae. The record is from RNAcentral.
AUGGCUCCGCGCGCAUUGCUCUACCCGGGCCUCCUCUGCCUCGCCGUGCUGGCCAGCGGCGCCGCCGCCGCCGCCGCGUCUCACUCGCAGUGCACCGACAACCCGCCGGACCUCACGGCCGGCGGCAACGAGACCGGCGCGGCCGUCGACGACCUGGCCGGCUUCAAGGCCUACGUUACCGGCGCCGCCCACUCCCACAGGGCCGUCGUCCUGGCCUCCGAUUUCUACGGAUUCGAAGCGCCAUUGUUGAGGAAAAUUGCCGACAAAGUCGGUGAAGCUGGAUACUAUGUUGUGGUGCCCGACUUCUUCAAUGGACAACCUUACACGGAAGGCGCAAACAGAACAGAAUGGUUCCUGGCUCACUCUCCGGUAAAAGCAGCUCAAGAUGCAAAACCCAUCUUCGCGGCAUUGAAGAAGGAAAAGAAGUCUUUUGUUGGAGUUGGGGGCUAUUGUUGGGGCGGGAAAUUCGCUGUGGAGGUGGCGAAAACAAACGAGGUGGAAGCAAUUGUCAUCUCCCAUCCUUCAGCAGUCACCACCGACGAUAUGAAAGUGAUCAAGUGCCCCAUUGAGAUUCUUGGAGCUCAGAAUGACGCUGUUACACCGCCAGCAUUAGUAGAUCAGCUUGUUGAGACCUUGCAUCAAAACAAUCAGAUUUACUAUGCAAAUAUCUUUCCAGAAGUUGCCCAUGGCUUUGCUUGCAGAUACAAUGUUACCAACCCUUUCGCCGUCAAGACCGCUGAACAAGCUCUUGGGUUAAUGCUCGGCUGGUUCCACAAAUACCUGAAAUGA